CUAGAUCACAACAACUUUGGACAAGAAUAUGGCUCUCAAAAGCUUUAUGAAAUUGAAUAUAAAAUGACAAACAAAAGUAUGCAAGCUUAUAGCAAUGUAAUGAUCAGUUUGUGUAUGUUGUUGUGUUUAAAUUACUGAAAUGAAGCUGUAUUUAUAGUUGAAAAACUUGGCAUUACCGUUGCCUAAUUGAUAAUUAAGAGUUGCUGAUUUUACUCACUGACAAUCGAUUGUCAAAC
Molecule: long non-coding RNA, 236 nt
Filed under: Nicotiana benthamiana
Lineage: Eukaryota; Viridiplantae; Streptophyta; Magnoliopsida; Solanales; Solanaceae
Description: long non-coding RNA (NBEN_LNC038396)
Source: RNAcentral